Molecule: long non-coding RNA, 1293 nt
Organism: Pezoporus flaviventris
Lineage: Eukaryota; Metazoa; Chordata; Aves; Psittaciformes; Psittacidae
Exons: 4
Source: RefSeq, a predicted model, not a curated record
GAGCUGUUUCCAGGAAAGAAGAGGAGAAGGAGGAAGAUGUUUGGUUUGCUGAGCAGCCCAUUCUUCCCCAUGGUGCAGAGCAGGUUGUGGUACUAUCAUGUUGAAAUGGAGCAAGACACCAGGAAUCCUUGUCUACAAUCUUAAGCAAUUUUGGAACCAUUGUCACCAAAGGACCUUGUUUAUUCCCAGAAAAUGAUGUUUGGCUGAACAGAAUAACAUUUGGCCAGACCUUAGGGGGACUUUUAUGAGUUCCACGUGAGAUGCUGAAGCCUUGAUUGAUUGGCCUCAAAUCCCUCAGAAAGAUGAACAUCCUGUACCCACAUCCACUCAGCCUGCUUUCCUUUUCAGCCUUGCUGCUGUAACUACUGAUUUCUCUUGCUGUAGUCCAGUCUGAUGCUCAUUCAAAUCCAGAUGGUUGCUCCGGUUUGGGGUGUGUCAGGAAAGCAAAAUUCACAGCCUUUCUGGCUUUCCUUCUGCUGCCAGUGAAGUUUCAAUUUUGGAACUUAGCAGGGAAAUCUGCACUCUACCCAAAACAGUUUCAUGCCCCACAAAUUCCUCAUCUGUGUAACUUAAUCAAAUGGCUUUUUGUAACAGCAAUAUCAUGCAUAUCCUGCAUGGCCAGCCCUGUGCAAUUCUGAAAUUCACACAUGGCUAAUGGAUGCUGUGAGUACUUGGGUACCCUGCUGCCUGUGGAGACUCAGACAUUUUGUUUGUUCAUGAGCCAGGCCUCAGCAACUCAGAAACACCGACUCAAAUUAUUUAGUACCUUUUGCAAAAAAAAAAAAAUUAUGUGGGAAGAGAGAUAUUCUGUGUUGACAUGAUUUUCACUGGUAAAAAUGAAAAACUCAAGUCCACACACAAUUUUAGUAAGUUACCUGGUGAAAUGGAUGCCUUCAAAAAACAUACUAUUCCUCAGCAUUUGAACAGUUUGCAUCUUUGCUUCAGUUCUCGUUCAUGCUCUUGCAUGGCUGGUCCUUCCCCCUCAGCCCCAUGACAGCUUAGUCCUUUUCUCCCCAGUCCUGUAUGAUGGAUGGCCCCAGUACACUGCAGAUAAGCCAGCAUGGGGCUGGACCCCUCUGCCUGUGAGCAAAGCAGCUGCAGCCAUGGGAGGGGUAGGCAAGGCUGCUGGCCAGGUUGUUGCUCCUGUGUAAGAGGAGCUGCAUCCAUACUUCUCUCUUGAGCCCUCCUGAUGCUGCUCUGCUCCCUCAUCUCUAGCCAUGCCUCCCUGUCCCUUUGUCCCCUCUGAGACGGCUCUGGUAUUGCCUGGAUCAUGCUCCUCCUACCCACCCACCC